CCCAAUCACAUGCUCACGCUUUUAGCAUUUAGGUGACCACAUGAGCGAGCGCAUGCCCAUGUGGCAUCAAUGAUACUAGUUUUCCAGCUUUUACCGUUUCACAAUAGAAGUAGUGUGAUUACACACCUUUUCCAUCAACAUACUCCAUUAGUUAAUAACAAUAAGAUUAACAUCCCUUCUCAUACUUGUCAUAAUUACUUUACUAGUACUUGCCUUUAUCACACCAAAGAAAAUUCCACCCUCAAACCAAUACACG
Molecule: long non-coding RNA, 256 nt
Filed under: Gossypium barbadense (sea-island cotton)
Lineage: Eukaryota; Viridiplantae; Streptophyta; Magnoliopsida; Malvales; Malvaceae
Description: long non-coding RNA (GBAR_LNC001465)
Source: RNAcentral